CGAACGCUGGCGGCGUGCUUAACACAUGCAAGUCGAACGCGAAAGGGGACUUCGGUCCUGAGUAAAGUGGCGCACGGGUGAGUAACGCGUAGAUAACCUGUCUUCAUGUCUGGAAUAAUACGCCGAAAGGGGUACUAAUACCGGAUAUUCUUGCUUUUCAUAAGUUAUGCAAGCAAAGGUGGCCUCUGCAUAUGCUACUGCAUGAAGAGGGGUCUGCGUACCAUUAGCUAGUAGGUGGGGUAAUGGCCUACCUAGGCGACGAUGGUUAGCGGGUCUGAGAGGAUGAUCCGCCACACUGGCACUGGAACACGGGCCAGACUCCUACGGGAGGCAGCAGUGAGGAAUAUUGCGCAAUGGGGGAAACCCUGACGCAGCGACGCCGCGUGAAGUGAGGAAGGCCUUCGGGUCGUAAAGCUCUGUCAAGAGGAAAGAAGUGUACAAUGGCUAAUACCUGUUGUAUUUGACGGUACCUCUAAAGGAAGCACCGGCUAACUCCGUGCCAGCAGCGGC
This 510-nucleotide ribosomal RNA is filed under the name uncultured bacterium. RNAcentral describes it as "bacterial SSU rRNA". It matches the Rfam family "Bacterial small subunit ribosomal RNA", at positions 30 to 518 of the family's 1533-position model. The record is from RNAcentral.